RNAcentral lists this ribosomal RNA (468 nucleotides) under uncultured bacterium. RNAcentral's name for it is "partial 16S ribosomal RNA". It matches the Rfam family "Bacterial small subunit ribosomal RNA", at positions 28 to 507 of the family's 1533-position model. The record is from RNAcentral.
GACGAACGCUGGCGGCGUGCUUAACACAUGCAAGUCGAACGGCAACGCCCUGCUUUUGUUGGCUGCUCGUGUGGCGAACGGGUGUGUAACACGUGAGUAUCCUGCCCUUUUCUUUGGUAUACCUUCAGGACACUGGGGCUACUACCUGCUAGGAGCUCCUGCUGCCUGGUGGGCGUUGGACCUUUUCGGCGGUUGGGGUUGGACUCGCGGCUUAUCAGCUUGUUGGUGGGGUAGUGGCUUACCCAGCCUUUGAAGGGUAGCCGGCCUGUGAGGGUGACCGGCGACAAUGGGACUGAGGUACGGCGCAGACUGCAACGGGAGGCAGCAGUGGGGAAUAUUGCACAAUGGGCGGAAGCCUGAUGAAGAAACGCCGCGGGCGGGAUGACGGCCUUCGGGGGGAAAACCGCUUUGGCCUGAGACGAAGCGUGAGUGACGGUAAUGGAUAAAGAAGCACCGGCUAACUACGUG